This 434-nucleotide ribosomal RNA is filed under the name uncultured bacterium. RNAcentral's name for it is "partial 16S ribosomal RNA". It matches the Rfam family "Bacterial small subunit ribosomal RNA", at positions 29 to 507 of the family's 1533-position model. The record is from RNAcentral.
AGCGAACGCUGGCGGCAGGCCUAACACAUGCAAGUCGAACGAACCUUUCGGGGUUAGUGGCGGCGGGGGGGGAAAAACGUGGGACGUUGCCUUAGGGUUCGGAUUAACCCAGGGAAACUUGUCUUAAUACGGAUGGGGCCCUUGGGGGGAAGGAUUUAUCGCCUUUAGAGCGGCCCGCGUCUGAUUAGCUAGUUGGUUGAGGUAAUGGCUCACCAAGGCGACGAUCAGUAGCUGGUCUGAGAGGAUGAUCAGCCACAUUGGGACUGAGACACGGCCCAAACUCCUACGGGAGGCAGCAGUGGGGAAUCUUGCGCAAUGGGCGAAAGCCUGACGCAGCCAUGCCGCGUGAAUGAUGAAGGUCUUAGGAUUGUAAAAUUCUUUCACCGGGGACGAUAAUGACGGUACCCGGAGAAGAAGCCCCGGCUAACUUCGUG